RNAcentral lists this ribosomal RNA (465 nucleotides) under uncultured bacterium. RNAcentral's name for it is "partial 16S ribosomal RNA". It matches the Rfam family "Bacterial small subunit ribosomal RNA", at positions 28 to 507 of the family's 1533-position model. The record is from RNAcentral.
GACGAACGCUGGCGGCGUGCUUAACACAUGCAAGUCGAACGGAAAGGCCCCUUUGGGGGUACUCGAGUGGCGAACGGGUGAGUAACACGUGAGUAACCUGCCCUUGACUUCGGGAUAACUUCAGGAAACUGGGGCUAAUAUCGGAUAGGAAUCCUUGCUGCAUGGUGGGGGUUGGAAAGCUUCGGCGGUUUUGGAUGGACUCGCGGCUUAUCAGCUUGUUGGUGGGGUAGUGGCUUACCAAGGCUUUGACGGGUAGCCGGCCUGAGAGGGCGACCGGCCACAUUGGGACUGAGAUACGGCCCAGACUCCUACGGGAGGCAGCGGUGGGGAAUAUUGCACAAUGGGCGGAAGCCUGAUGCAGCAACGCCGCGUGCGGGAUGACGGCCUUCGGGUUGUAAACCGCUUUCAGCAGGGGCGAAGCUUGUGGUGACGGUACCUGCAGAAGAAGCACCGGCUAACUACGUG